AAGAUUGAUGAUGAUGAGCUUCAAUCCUAUAUCCUUAAUGGGUUAGGUGCUGAUUACAAUCCAUAUGUUUCGUCGAUGUCUACAAAAGAUAACCUUACCUUGAGCGAUCUCUAUGCUCACCUCCUGUCAUACGAAG
Molecule: small nucleolar RNA, 136 nt
Filed under: Setaria italica (foxtail millet)
Lineage: Eukaryota; Viridiplantae; Streptophyta; Magnoliopsida; Poales; Poaceae
Also listed under: 1 other name
Description: Small nucleolar RNA Z247
Rfam family: Small nucleolar RNA Z247
About the family: Z247 is a member of the C/D class of snoRNA which contain the C (UGAUGA) and D (CUGA) box motifs. Most of the members of the box C/D family function in directing site-specific 2'-O-methylation of substrate RNAs.
Source: Rfam by way of RNAcentral